RNAcentral lists this unclassified non-coding RNA (720 nucleotides) under Hevea brasiliensis (rubber tree). The record is from RNAcentral. Lineage: Eukaryota; Viridiplantae; Streptophyta; Magnoliopsida; Malpighiales; Euphorbiaceae.
GUGCCAAAUUUGGGCUUAUAUCAACUGAAUUGAAUAAUUAAUUGCUUUUUUUGACAUUUCUAAUGCCCAGAAAAAAUACUGCUGAUAUUAGAGAUAGAUACGUAUAUAUUUGUGUGUGUUAGCAACUUUUAGGCAUAGGAUGACAAAUUGGUGGUGCUGUGGUUGAUUGAAAUCUAUAGACUUAUGUUGUAGUGAAUUGCGCCAGCUUUGGGGACUGUACAAUUUUGGGCGUCAUCUUGUUGAGGUUAGUAUUUUUGACAUUUUUAUUGCUAUAAGUAAAUUUGUGAUGAGAGAUGCUAUAUUUUAGUUUUUUUCUUUUUCUAUACUUUUGCAGAUAGAAUUUAAUUAGAUUUGUUUUGUUCAUUGCAUGUGCAGUAGGUUAUAUUAAACUUUAAUUAUUAGCCUAAAAGUUUUCCUCACUUAUAUUGAUGUGAUAUAUGCCUAGAAACUUAUAUUUUGUACCUUAAAGAGUUUGUUUAUGAGAUAAAGGUAUCUGAAGUUGAUGAUUUAGAAGUGCUUAUGUUUGUGUAUAAAUGUUGUAGCAGUAGAUGGUAUAAUGAGGAUAUUGAAAGUAUUAUUUUAUACGCAGAAACAUUAUUUUACCUUCAUUAGCAGAUAUCAUAUGUCCUAUUACAGACGACGCUCUGCCAAAAUUUUCUUAAUUAUUAAGUUUGUAUAAUGAAAUUUUUAAAUUUUAUUUUCCUAGUUUCAUUAUUACUU